GACGAACGCUGGCGGCGUGCCUAAUACAUGCAAGUAGAACGCUGAAAAGAGGAGCUUGCUCUUCUUGGAUGAGUUGCGAACGGGUGAGUAACGCGUAGGUAACCUGCCUUGUAGCGGGGGAUAACUAUUGGAAACGAUAGCUAAUACCGCAUAACAAUGGAUGACCCAUGUCAUUUAUUUGAAAGGGGCAAAUGCUCCACUACAAGAUGGACCUGCGUUGUAUUAGCUAGUAGGUGAGGUAACGGCUCACCUAGGCGACGAUACAUAGCCGACCUGAGAGGGUGAUCGGCCACACUGGGACUGAGACACGGCCCAGACUCCUACGGGAGGCAGCAGUAGGGAAUCUUCGGCAAUGGGGGCAACCCUGACCGAGCAACGCCGCGUGAGUGAAGAAGGUUUUCGGAUCGUAAAGCUCUGUUGUAAGUCAAGAACGAGUGUGAGAGUGGAAAGUUCACACUGUGACGGUAGCUUACCAGAAAGGGACGGCUAACUACGUGCCAGCAGCCGCGGUAAUACGUAGGUCCCGAGCGUUGUCCGGAUUUAUUGGGCGUAAAGCGAGCGCAGGCGGUUUGAUAAGUCUGAAGUUAAAGGCUGUGGCUCAACCAUAGUUCGCUUUGGAAACUGUCAAACUUGAGUGCAGAAGGGGAGAGUGGAAUCCCAUGUGUAGCGGUGAAAUGCGUAGAUAUAUGGAGGAACACCGGUGGCGAAAGCGGCUCUCUGGUCUGUAACUGACGCUGAGGCUCGAAAGCGUGGGGAGCGAACAGGAUUAGAUACCCUGGUAGUCCACGCCGUAAACGAUGAGUGCUAGGUGUUGGAUCCUUUCCGGGAUUCAGUGCCGCAGCUAACGCAUUAAGCACUCCGCCUGGGGAGUACGACCGCAAGGUUGAAAUUCAAAGGAAUUGACGGGGGCCCGCACAAGCGGUGGAGCAUGUGGUUUAAUUCGAAGCAACGCGAAGAACCUUACCAGGUCUUGACAUCCCGAUGCUAUUUCUAGAGAUAGAAAGUUACUUCGGUACAUCGGUGACAGGUGGUGCAUGGUUGUCGUCAGCUCGUGUCGUGAGAUGUUGGGUUAAGUCCCGCAACGAGCGCAACCCCUAUUGUUAGUUGCCAUCAUUCAGUUGGGCACUCUAGCGAGACUGCCGGUAAUAAACCGGAGGAAGGUGGGGAUGACGUCAAAUCAUCAUGCCCCUUAUGACCUGGGCUACACACGUGCUACAAUGGUUGGUACAACGAGUUGCGAGUCGGUGACGGCAAGCUAAUCUCUUAAAGCCAAUCUCAGUUCGGAUUGUAGGCUGCAACUCGCCUACAUGAAGUCGGAAUCGCUAGUAAUCGCGGAUCAGCACGCCGCGGUGAAUACGUUCCCGGGCCU
Molecule: ribosomal RNA, 1369 nt
Filed under: uncultured bacterium
Lineage: Bacteria
Description: bacterial SSU rRNA
Rfam family: Bacterial small subunit ribosomal RNA
Source: RNAcentral